RNAcentral lists this ribosomal RNA (253 nucleotides) under uncultured bacterium. RNAcentral describes it as "partial 16S ribosomal RNA". It matches the Rfam family "Bacterial small subunit ribosomal RNA", at positions 524 to 776 of the family's 1533-position model. The record is from RNAcentral.
UACGUAGGGUGCAAGCGUUGUCCGGAAUUAUUGGGCGUAAAGAGCUCGUAGGCGGUCUGUCGCGUCGGCUGUGAAAUCCCGAGGCUCAACCUCGGGUCUGCAGUCGAUACGGGCAAACUAGAGUAUUGCAGGGGAGACUGGAAUUCCUGGUGUAGCGGUGAAAUGCGCAGAUAUCAGGAAGAACACCGGUGGCGAAGGCGGGUCUCUGGGCAAUAACUGACGCUGAGGAGCGAAAGCGUGGGGAGCGAACAGG